GAGAACCUCCGGGGGCAAGAGGUUCGACCCGAGCGAAGCGAGAGAACGUUGCGUCAGCAACGGCCCGCAGGGCGAGCCACGCAGUGGCGAGUCAUCCUCUAUCACCGACCA
RNAcentral lists this small RNA (111 nucleotides) under Salmonella enterica subsp. enterica serovar Infantis. Its description in RNAcentral is "partial RtT sRNA". It matches the Rfam family "RtT RNA", at positions 24 to 130 of the family's 130-position model. Rfam says of the family: This family represents a bacterial cis-regulatory element known as RtT RNA. The exact function of RtT is unknown although it is thought that it may be involved in changing the cellular response in relation to amino acid starvation. RNAcentral also lists the same sequence under 8 other names. The record is from RNAcentral. Lineage: Bacteria; Pseudomonadati; Pseudomonadota; Gammaproteobacteria; Enterobacterales; Enterobacteriaceae.